Molecule: ribosomal RNA, 468 nt
Filed under: uncultured bacterium
Lineage: Bacteria
Description: partial 16S ribosomal RNA
Rfam family: Bacterial small subunit ribosomal RNA
Source: RNAcentral
GACGAACGCUGGCGGCGUGCUUAACACAUGCAAGUCGAACGGAAAGGCCCUGCUUUUGUGGGGUGCUCGAGUGGCGAACGGGUGAGUAACACGUGAGUAACCUGCCCUUGACUUUGGGAUAACUUCAGGAAACUGGGGCUAAUAUCGGAUAGGAGCUCCUGCUGCAUGGUGGGGGUUGGAAAGUUUCGGCGGUUGGGGAUGGACUGGCGGCUUAUCAGCUUGUUGGUGGGGUAGUGGCUUACCAAGGCUUUGACGGGUAGCCGGCCUGAGAGGGUGGCCGGCCACAUUGGGACUGAGAUACGGCCCAGACUCCUACGGGAGGCAGCAGUGGGGAAUAUUGCACAAUGGGCAGAAGCCUGAUGCAGCAACGCCGCGUGCGGGAUGACGGCCUUCGGGUUGUAAACCGCUUUCGCCUGUGACGAAGCGUGAGUGACGGUAAUGGGUAAAGAAGCACCGGCUAACUACGUG